UACGUAGGGGGCUAGCGUUGUCCGGAAUCAUUGGGCGUAAAGCGCGUGUAGGCGGUCCGGUAAGUCCGCUGUGAAAGUCGGGGGGCUCAACCCUCGAAUGCCGGUGGAUACUGCCGGGCUAGAGUGCGGAAGAGGCGAGUGGAAUUCCUGGUGUAGCGGUGAAAUGCGCAGAUAUCAGGAGGAACACCAAUUGCGAAGGCAGCUCGCUGGGACGUUACUGACGCUGAGACGCGAAAGCGUGGGGAGCAAACAGG
Molecule: ribosomal RNA, 254 nt
Filed under: uncultured bacterium
Lineage: Bacteria
Description: partial 16S ribosomal RNA
Rfam family: Bacterial small subunit ribosomal RNA
Source: RNAcentral